RNAcentral lists this ribosomal RNA (467 nucleotides) under uncultured bacterium. RNAcentral describes it as "partial 16S ribosomal RNA". It matches the Rfam family "Bacterial small subunit ribosomal RNA", at positions 29 to 507 of the family's 1533-position model. The record is from RNAcentral.
ACGAACGCUGGCGGCGUGCUUAACCCAUACAAGUCGAACGGAAAGGCCCUGCUUUUGUGGGGUGCUCGAGUGGCGAACGGGUGAGUAACACGUGAGUAACCUGCCCUUGACUUUGGGAUAACUUCAGGAAACUGGGGCUAAUACCGGAUAGGAGCUCCUGCUGCAUGGUGGGGGUUGGAAAGUUUCGGCGGUUGGGGAUGGACUCGCGGCUUAUCAGCUUGUUGGUGGGGUAGUGGCUUACCAAGGCUUUGACGGGUAGCCGGCCUGAGAGGGUGACCGGCCACAUUGGGACUGAGAUACGGCCCAGACUCCUACGGGAGGCAGCAGUGGGGAAUAUUGCACAAUGGGCGGAAGCCUGAUGCAGCAACGCCGCGUGCGGGAUGACGGCCUUCGGGUUGUAAACCGCUUUCGCCUGUGACGAAGCGUGAGUGACGGUAAUGGGUAAAGAAGCACCGGCUAACUACGUG